This 447-nucleotide ribosomal RNA is filed under the name uncultured bacterium. RNAcentral's name for it is "bacterial SSU rRNA". It matches the Rfam family "Bacterial small subunit ribosomal RNA", at positions 328 to 792 of the family's 1533-position model. The record is from RNAcentral.
GUCCCAGACUCCUACGGGAGGCAGCAGUGGGGAAUAUUGCGCAAUGGGCGAAACCCUGAUGCAGCAACGCCGCGUGAGUGAAGAAGUAUUUCGGUAUGUAAAGCUCUAUCAGCAGGGAAGAAAAUGACGGUACCUGAGUAAGAAGCCCCGGCUAACUACGUGCCAGCAGCCGCGGUAAUACGUAGGGGGCAAGCGUUAUCCGGAUUUACUGGGUGUAAAGGGAGCGUAGACGGCGAUACAAGUCUGAAGUGAAAGCCCGGGGCUCAACCCCGGGACUGCUUUGGAAACUGUGUUGCUGGAGUGCUGGAGAGGCAAGCGGAAUUCCUAGUGUAGCGGUGAAAUGCGUAGAUAUUAGGAGGAACACCAGUGGCGAAGGCGGCCUGCUGGACGAUGACUGACGUUGAGGCUCGAAAGCGUGGGGAGCAAACAGGAUUAGAUACCCCAGUA